Molecule: long non-coding RNA, 1363 nt
Organism: Humulus lupulus (European hop)
Lineage: Eukaryota; Viridiplantae; Streptophyta; Magnoliopsida; Rosales; Cannabaceae
Exons: 5
Source: RefSeq, a predicted model, not a curated record
CCAAGCACAACAACUUUACCACCAAAUGGUUGAGCAUAAUCAUUUAUAUAUUUUAACAUUAAGUCCAAAGCUUCUAUUGAUUGAUGAUGAGACAUUGGAGCUUCAUCCCAUAUUAUCAAUUUUGCGCAUUGUAGUAAUUUGGCUAAUCCAGAUUGUUUGCUAACUGUGCAUGUAGUAUCCACUACAACAUUUUUGAGCAUAUAUUACGGUAAAUAAAUAACAUAUAUUCAAAAUGUUAUCAAUAAAAUAAGUAACACAGUCCCAUACAAAAAAAACACGGUUCCAUAUAUAAAAAACAAAGGAAAUAACACGGAAUAAAAAUAAAUAAAAAGAAAAAAGCUACGCGCUAAAAUGAAGCGCCAAAUGAAACUUAAUACACGAAAAUUAAAAUGAAAAAUGAAAAGGCAAAUAAACACAUCCCCAUCCCGUAAUCAUCUGAAUCCCUAAUCCUCAUCUACCUGAACUAGUCCCAGCUGCCUCCUCUGCCCAUCCCGUAAGUCUCUCAUCUCCAUUCCUGAAUCGCUGGAGCAGGAACCCAAAAGCAGCUCCUUCUCCCACAAGCGAGUCUUGCCUGCUCCCUCAAGCUGUUAUCUCUCCUGCUGGAGCAAGAACCCAGGCAUCUCCCUCACGAGUCGUGCGCUUGCUAUCUCUCCUGCUGGAAGCAAGAACCCAGGCCAGAGUAUUCGUAACUGUGAGAAAUUCAGAAAAGAAGACAACCAACUUUAGGGAACUGAGGCAUUUAUAAAGGGAUCUCAUAUUUUCAUCUCAGCUAGGUUUGGUUCAUUUGGCUAUUUUUUCACUUUCAAGUGGCUUCAUUGGAUUUCACAUUGGAAGCUUUAUUUACAACAGUUGGCAAGAGAGUGUCAAGAAUUGCAUAUUUGGCUCCAAAUGCAAAAUAUUAAAUUGGAUUGGAUCAGAUCUGGAGAAAUUAUUGCAUAAUGCUAUUUUAUUUCAAGUGAACCAAAGGAUGAGGUUCACCAUGUUCCUCUUGGGCCUAGUGCUAUGAAAGUGGGGAUAGAUCUUGUGAGAAAGAAUGAUGCAUUUCUGUGGAGGCCUUCAAUAGUUAGUCUACUAUAGAAUAUGCUAUAGCUAAGCAAACAGACUCACAACAAAGGCAAGUGCACAAAUGAUGAUGAAUUGAAGGAUGGAGCAAGUUUCAUGCAUGGUUUACUUUUGUGGAUCUUGUAAUGUUUAUGUUUUUCAUUUUUGAAGUAAAAAAUGUUCAAGAUUAUAAAACUUUAUUAUGUUAUGUUUUCAAACAUAAGUUAGAAAUAAAUUUCUCAUGAAGUAGACACAUUCAUGGUUUGAAUUAGUUAUUGUUUAAUGUAAUACUUAAGGUUUAUCAAUCUAUUGAGAAUUACAU